GGAGGCGGAGAACCCCGCGCAAUCUGGAGCCGGAAUCAUCUCUGGCCUUGAGAAUUUCAUGUGCCAUAGCAGUCUGAUGAUCGAGCUCGGUGACCAGGUCAAUUUCAUUACCGACUAGAGUGGAAAGUAUGUAGCUGAGAAGGUCCAGAUCGGGAAGGGUGUUGGAGGCUUUUUUAAUCUUCUUUUGCCGAUUGUUGUUCGAUUUUGAUACAUUCAAGUGGGAGCGCAAUUCUGACGGUGUUUUGCCUGUCGUUUGGUUGCCAAGCCAUGGGCACAGCUGAGGGCUCUGUCUCUCAAAGAUUUUAUCAAGAAUGGUUGUAUUUAUCUUGGUUCUGUUAGAUAAACAUUGAUGAAUGGAGGAGAUAAUCCCAAAUAGGAGUUUCCAGAGGUGUAUCAUUUGUGUACAUAAGGAGGAAGCUAAUGGUAUCGGCAAAAAUAGUGACCUAAUAUCAAUAUCGAGUUCCUUCUACUGUGUGCUCACAUGCUCAUACAUAUAUGUUCGGCUUGAUAUCUCUAUUAUUUUAAAUGAAGGCAUUGAGAUAUUUAUGUUAUUUUUGCAUUACCAUUGUGCUCUUGAGACAUGCGUUGGAGCUUGGGUUCAAGCCUAAAGAUGGUAGCAAUGGUGAAAUCUACCAAUUAUAUGAAACAAUCCAUUUGAGUUUUGCAUCCAAUUGCUGAUUCUAUCAAAACCAAAAGAUCUGGGGAAUGUAUUUUGACAACUUCCUCCGAAGACUGGUUGAAGUAGAUGAUGACAGAAACUGUGGAUCAACAACCACUGUUCGUGAGUUGAUAGUACUUCAAGUAUGAAUGAUGGUGGUAUUUACUCAUUCCAUAUUUGUAUGUUUCCAAGAACCUCGUGUAUACUUUUUUUAUUAUUAUUAUUCACUGCCAUGGUUUGUUAAAUAAGGUUUAAGUUAUU
This is a long non-coding RNA of Dioscorea cayenensis subsp. rotundata (Guinea yam), 919 nucleotides long. RefSeq lists it as uncharacterized. The transcript has 7 exons. The record is from RefSeq and is a predicted model, not a curated record. Lineage: Eukaryota; Viridiplantae; Streptophyta; Magnoliopsida; Dioscoreales; Dioscoreaceae.